RNAcentral lists this ribosomal RNA (253 nucleotides) under uncultured bacterium. Its description in RNAcentral is "partial 16S ribosomal RNA". It matches the Rfam family "Bacterial small subunit ribosomal RNA", at positions 524 to 776 of the family's 1533-position model. The record is from RNAcentral.
GACAGAGGGUGCAAACGUUGUUCGGAAUUACUGGGCGUAAAGCGCGUGUAGGCGGCUUUGCAAGUCGGGUGUGAAAGCCCUCAGCUCAACUGAGGAAGUGCGCCCGAAACUGCAGAGCUUGAGUGCCGGAGAGGGUGGCGGAAUUCCCCAAGUAGAGGUGAAAUUCGUAGAUAUGGGGAGGAACACCGGUGGCGAAGGCGGCCACCUGGACGGUAACUGACGCUGAGACGCGAAAGCGUGGGUAGCAAACAGG